GCGAACGGGUGAGUAAUGCAUCGGAACGUACCGAGUAGUGGGGGAUAACUGUCCGAAAGGAUGGCUAAUACCGCAUACGCUUUGAGAAGGAAAGCAGGGGCUCUUCGGACCUUGCGCUAUUCGAGCGGCCGAUGUCUGAUUAGCUAGUUGGUGGGGUAAAGGCCUACCAAGGCGACGAUCAGUAGCGGGUCUGAGAGGAUGAUCCGCCACACUGGGACUGAGACACGGCCCAGACUCCUACGGGAGGCAGCAGUGGGGAAUUUUGGACAAUGGGCGCAAGCCUGAUCCAGCCAUGCCGCGUGUCUGAAGAAGGCCUUCGGGUUGUAAAGGACUUUUGUCAGGGAAGAAAAGGUUGUGGUUAAUACCCAUGACUGAUGACGGUACCUGAAGAAUAAGCACCGGCUAACUACGUGCCAGCAGCCGCGGUAAUACGUAGGGUGCGAGCGUUAAUCGGAAUUACUGGGCGUAAAGCGGGCGCAGACGGUUACUUAAGUCAGAUGUGAAAUCCCCGGGCUCAACCU
Molecule: ribosomal RNA, 521 nt
Filed under: Neisseria zoodegmatis
Lineage: Bacteria; Pseudomonadati; Pseudomonadota; Betaproteobacteria; Neisseriales; Neisseriaceae
Description: bacterial SSU rRNA
Rfam family: Bacterial small subunit ribosomal RNA
Source: RNAcentral